Molecule: ribosomal RNA, 443 nt
Filed under: uncultured bacterium
Lineage: Bacteria
Description: partial 16S ribosomal RNA
Rfam family: Bacterial small subunit ribosomal RNA
Source: RNAcentral
CCUACGGGUGGCAGCAGUGGGGAAUAUUGGGCAAUGGGCGCAAGCCUGACCCAGCAACGCCGCGUGAAGGAAGAAGGCUUUCGGGUUGUAAACUUCUUUUCUGAGGGACGAAGAAAGUGACGGUACCUCAGGAAUAAGCCACGGCUAACUACGUGCCAGCAGACGAGGUAAUAAGGAGGUGGCAAGCGUUAUCCGGAUUGAUUGGGGGAAAAGGGCGAGUAGGCGGGAAAGCAAGUCAGAUGUGAAAACUCAGGGCUCAACCCUGAGCCUGCAUUUGAAACUGUUUUUCUUGAGUGCUGGAGAGGCAAUCGGAAUUCCGUGUGUAGCGGUGAAAUGCGUAGAUAUUAGGAGGAACACCAGUGGCGAAGGCGGCUUACUGGACAGUAACUGACGUUGAGGCUCGAAAGCGUGGGGAGCAAACAGGAUUAGAUACCCGUGUAGUC